GGGCUGCAGUAUAUUGACUGUACAAAGGUAGCAUAAUCAUUAGUCAUUUAAUUGAUGACUUGUAUGAAAGAUUGGAUGAAAUAUAAACUGUCUCUUUAUUAUUUAUAGAAUUUAAUUUUUUAAUUAAAAAGUUAAAAUAAUUUAAAAAGACGAGAAGACCCUAUAGAGUUUUAUAUUUAAAUUAAUUAAGAUUAUUUAUAAAAUUUUUAAUUAAAUUAUUUUUAAUUAUUUUGUUGGGGUGACAAAAAAAUAAAAAUAACUUUUUUUAAAUUUUAACAUAUAUAAUUGAUUUUAUGAUCCAUUUUUAAUGAUUAUAAGAAAAAAUUACCUUAGGGAUAACAGCGUAAUUUUUUUUUUUAGUUCGAAUAAAAAAAAGAGUUUGCGACCUCGAUGUUGGAUUAAGAUAAAAUUUAAAUG
This 417-nucleotide ribosomal RNA is filed under the name Spodoptera litura. RNAcentral describes it as "partial 16S ribosomal RNA". The record is from RNAcentral. Lineage: Eukaryota; Metazoa; Arthropoda; Insecta; Lepidoptera; Noctuidae.